RNAcentral lists this unclassified non-coding RNA (933 nucleotides) under Hevea brasiliensis (rubber tree). Lineage: Eukaryota; Viridiplantae; Streptophyta; Magnoliopsida; Malpighiales; Euphorbiaceae. The record is from RNAcentral.
AGAGCAUUUGUUCCAGCAGUAUUGCUUGGAGAAGCAGAACCAAAGUUGAGUGAACAACUUGCGAAAGUGCAAGAUCAUUCAAUUGAUUCAACACCCGAUGCAGAUGAAACUCAGACUGCUGCACAAGAGAUUGCUGAUGCUGUAGCUGUACAGGAGGACAGAAAUGAUAUAGGCAAGGAUAAAGAUGAGAAGGAUAAAGAGAAGACCAAGGAAAAAUCAAAAGAAAAGGAUAAAGAUGAAAAGGAUAAAGAGCCUGAUAAGGAAAAAACAAGAGAAAAGGAAGCUGAAAGAAAAGGAGAAGGUGAUAAGGAGAAAGCAAAAGGUGUUGAAGGAACUAAUUUGGAUAGUCUGCUUCAGCGGCUACCUGGUUGUGUUAGCCGUGAUUUGAUUGACCAGUUGACUGUGGAGUUUUGCUAUUUGAAUUCCAAGUCCAGUAGGAAAAAACUUGUUAGGGCAUUGUUCAAUGUCCCCAGGACAUCACUAGAGUUGUUGCCAUACUACUCUCGCAUGGUUGCCACUCUGUCAACUUGCAUGAAGGAUGUGUCUUCUAUGCUUUUACAGUUGUUGGAAGAGGAGUUCAACUUUUUGAUAAAUAAGAAGGAUCAAAUGAAUAUAGAAACAAAAAUAAGGAAUAUUCGUUUUAUUGGAGAGCUCUGCAAAUUUCGAAUUGCUCCACCUGGCCUUGUUUUCAGUUGUCUGAAGGCUUGUUUAGAUGAUUUCAGUCAUCACAAUAUUGAUGUUGCUUGCAAUCUUCUCGAGACAUGUGGGCGUUUUCUCUACCGAUCUCCUGAAACUACAAUACGCAUGGCAAACAUGUUAGAAAUAUUGAUGCGUCUGAAGAAUGUUAAAAAUUUGGAUCCUCGCCACAUCACCUUAGUGGAGAAUGCAUAUUACUUAUGCAAGCCACCAGAAAGAUCUGCACGAGUGUCUAAA